AAAUUGAAGAGUUUGAUCAUGGCUCAGAUUGAACGCUGGCGGCAGGCCUAACACAUGCAAGUCGAGCGGAAACGAGUUAUCUGAACCUUCGGGGAACGAUAACGGCGUCGAGCGGCGGACGGGUGAGUAAUGCCUAGGAAAUUGCCCUGAUGUGGGGGAUAACCAUUGGAAACGAUGGCUAAUACCGCAUGAUGCCUACGGGCCAAAGAGGGGGACCUUCGGGCCUCUCGCGUCAGGAUAUGCCUAGGUGGGAUUAGCUAGUUGGUGAGGUAAGGGCUCACCAAGGCGACGAUCCCUAGCUGGUCUGAGAGGAUGAUCAGCCACACUGGAACUGAGACACGGUCCAGACUCCUACGGGAGGCAGCAGUGGGGAAUAUUGCACAAUGGGCGCAAGCCUGAUGCAGCCAUGCCGCGUGUGUGAAGAAGGCCUUCGGGUUGUAAAGCACUUUCAGUCGUGAGGAAGGUAGUGUAGUUAAUAGCUGCAUUAUUUGACGUUAGCGACAGAAGAAGCACCGGCUAACUCCGUGCCAGCAGCCGCGGUAAUACGGAGGGUGCGAGCGUUAAUCGGAAUUACUGGGCGUAAAGCGCAUGCAGGUGGUUUGUUAAGUCAGAU
Molecule: ribosomal RNA, 613 nt
Filed under: Vibrio parahaemolyticus
Lineage: Bacteria; Pseudomonadati; Pseudomonadota; Gammaproteobacteria; Vibrionales; Vibrionaceae
Description: bacterial SSU rRNA
Rfam family: Bacterial small subunit ribosomal RNA
Source: RNAcentral